Molecule: ribosomal RNA, 406 nt
Filed under: uncultured bacterium
Lineage: Bacteria
Description: partial 16S ribosomal RNA
Rfam family: Bacterial small subunit ribosomal RNA
Source: RNAcentral
AUUGAACGCUGGCGGCAGGCCUAACACAUGCAAGUCGAACGAGUGGCGGACGGGUGAGUAAUGUCUGGGAAACUGCCUGAUGGAGGGGGAUAACUACUGGAAACGGUAGCUAAUACCGCAUACCAUCAGAUGUGCCCAGAUGGGAUUAGCUUGUUGGUGGGGUAACGGCUCACCAAGGCGACGAUCCCGAGCUGGUCUGAGAGGAUGCCCAGCAAAACUGGAACGUAGACACUGUCCAUACUCCGACGGGAGGCAGCAGUGGGGAAUAUUGCACAAUGUGCGCAAGCCUGAUGCGGCCAUGCCGCGUGUAUGAAGAGGGCCUUCGGGUUGUAAAGUACUUUCAGCGGGGAGGCGUUACCCGCAGAAGAAGCACCGGCUAACUCCGUGCCAGCAGCCGCGGUAAUAC